UGUUAUGAAUGGCAGGAGAGAAACAAGAACGCCAGACUCUUUGUUGUUUAUAAGUGCCAUUUUUUUGCAUAAUGUCAACUGCUGUUAACAAAUAUGACGUCCUAAAAUCCAAUGAUGACUCUGGGGAAGAAGAUAGUGGAAGCCGAGAUAUGAAAGACAAACCACUGCCACAAGUGGAGGUAAAACCAGGCGAGCACCCUCUUCAGUACACAUAUUCUCUUUGGUUCAGCAGAAGGGCACCAGGCAAACAGGCAACAACACAAAACUACGACCAAAAUCUUCAAUUAUUAGCCAGGUUUGCCUCAGUGGAACAAUUCUGGGGAUAUUACAGCCGCUGUUUGCGGCCAGUCGAUCUUCCUUCACACUCCGAUAUACAUAUUUUUAAAGAUGGAAUCAAACCCAUGUGGGAGGAUUCGGCUAAUAAAAAUGGUGGGAAAUGGAUUGUACGUUUAAGGAAAGGACUUGCUUCGCGUUGCUGGGAAAAUAUGAUCUUGGCAAUGCUUGGUGAGCAGUUUAUGGUUGGUGAUGAAAUCUGUGGAGCUGUUAUAUCUGUACGCUUUCAGGAGGACAUAAUAUCUGUCUGGAACCGCACAGCGCAAGACUCUAUCACCACAGGAAAGAUCCGGGACACCCUAAAGCGUGUUCUUAACCUACCUCCUACUACUGUUAUGGAAUACAAGACCCAUAACGACUCUCUCAAGCACACCCACUCCGCGUCAAGCCUACUACGCAAACCCGGCCUACCCAUGAGGCAUGACCUCCUUCACUGACGUCUCUCUUCUUUUGCUCCCCUCUCCCCUCCUCUUCCUGGCAGGGGGGGGGAGGGUGGGGAGAGAGAGAGAGAGAGAGCCUGAGACAUCACCCAUUCUCUGUGCAUCUACAGGUGUGAGUGUGAAGAUAUGCCCAUGCCAUGUUUCUACUACCGCUAUGAUCAUAUUUGCAGUGUACAGUACAACCCCUCUAAUUGGAAAUAAUUAGUGGGAACGUGAUAGAGAUUUGGGAAAUCUACAGAGUAAAUGGACGUGAUGCUGUUGUGACUCCUUAAAGAAGUGAGGAAGAUUGUGUUCAUAUCCAUGCCAUGUGUAUAGUAGGUGCAUAUCCAAUACAAAUUUAUUUUAAU
This 1120-nucleotide unclassified non-coding RNA is filed under the name Penaeus chinensis. RNAcentral's name for it is "eukaryotic translation initiation factor 4E type 2- like, transcript variant X4". The record is from RNAcentral. Lineage: Eukaryota; Metazoa; Arthropoda; Malacostraca; Decapoda; Penaeidae.